AUUGAACGCUGGCGGCAUGCUUUACACAUGCAAGUCGAACGGUAACAGGCCGCAAGGUGCUGACGAGUGGCGAACGGGUGAGUAAUGCAUCGGAACGUGCCUAGUCGUGGGGGAUAACUACUCGAAAGAGUAGCUAAUACCGCAUACGAUCUAUGGAUGAAAGCGGGGGACCGUAAGGCCUCGCGCGAUUGGAGCGGCCGAUGUCAGAUUAGGUAGUUGGUGGGGUAAAGGCUCACCAAGCCAACGAUCUGUAGCUGGUCUGAGAGGACGACCAGCCACACUGGGACUGAGACACGGCCCAGACUCCUACGGGAGGCAGCAGUGGGGAAUUUUGGACAAUGGGCGCAAGCCUGAUCCAGCAAUGCCGCGUGCAGGAAGAAGGCCUUCGGGUUGUAAACUGCUUUUGUACGGAACGAAACGGCUCUGGUUAAUACCCGGGGCUAAUGACGGUACCGUAAGAAUAAGCACCGGCUAACUACGUG
This 482-nucleotide ribosomal RNA is filed under the name uncultured bacterium. RNAcentral describes it as "partial 16S ribosomal RNA". It matches the Rfam family "Bacterial small subunit ribosomal RNA", at positions 30 to 507 of the family's 1533-position model. The record is from RNAcentral.